Transfer RNA from Gregarina niphandrodes, 81 nucleotides. It matches the Rfam family "tRNA". Rfam says of the family: Transfer RNA (tRNA) molecules are approximately 80 nucleotides in length. Their secondary structure includes four short double-helical elements and three loops (D, anti-codon, and T loops). Further hydrogen bonds mediate the characteristic L-shaped molecular structure. tRNAs have two regions of fundamental functional importance: the anti-codon, which is responsible for specific mRNA codon recognition, and the 3' end, to which the tRNAs corresponding amino acid is attached (by aminoacyl-tRNA synthetases). tRNAs cope with the degeneracy of the genetic code in two manners: having more than one tRNA (with a specific anti-codon) for a particular amino acid; and 'wobble' base-pairing, i.e. permitting non-standard base-pairing at the 3rd anti-codon position. The record is from Rfam. NCBI's taxonomy places the organism in Eukaryota, Apicomplexa, Conoidasida, Eugregarinorida, Gregarinidae.
GUGUGGAUGCCCGAGAGGUUAAGGGGGGAGACUUAAGAUCUUCUGACGAAAGUCGCGUGGGUUCGAACCCCACUCCGCACA